RNAcentral lists this small nuclear RNA (103 nucleotides) under Octodon degus (degu). The record is from RNAcentral. Lineage: Eukaryota; Metazoa; Chordata; Mammalia; Rodentia; Octodontidae.
GUAGUACUUCAGCAACACACAAACUGAAAGUAUAAAGACACAGAGAUUGGCAUGGCUCCUGCACAAGGAUGACAUGCAAAUUCAUGAAGCAUUCCAUAUUUUA